This 1213-nucleotide long non-coding RNA is filed under the name Eucalyptus grandis. RNAcentral describes it as "long non-coding RNA (EGRA_LNC003734)". The record is from RNAcentral. Lineage: Eukaryota; Viridiplantae; Streptophyta; Magnoliopsida; Myrtales; Myrtaceae.
AAUGUGGCCGGUUGUGUAACAAGUCAUUUUCUUCGACUCUCUCUCCGCCUCCCUCCUUCCCUCCCCACUACCCUCUUCAUCUUCUUCUACUCCUUCGCCAUCCUCUCCACCACCAGCCCAGGAGCCACCACCCACCGUGCCAAGCACCGCCAUCCUCUUCCCUGAAAAAAUUCGCCUUGUUUCACUUUAGCUGCCAUGAGAUCGUCAUCGUUGCCGUUCUCAGCUGCGUCCAUAGUUGUGAUUUGUCAAGUUCUAUUUUCCCUGUUCUUUGAUCAAAAGCUUUGAAGAGCUGGAAUCGCGGUUGCAGAUCGUUCAAUAGAUUUCGAUCCUAAUUGCCAUUCACGUUGCUGGUCGUUGUUUGUUGCUGUCCGUCGCCGUUCAUUGUAAGCCAUCUUUGCUGGCUUCAUCUCCGAUGAGCACCAAGAGUGUGCUUUGUUUCACUUUGUUCCAUCACCUAAAAUUUCGAAGGUUGUUGGACCUUAUUUGAAGUCCUCAUGAUGAUUUUAAUUUCGAGUGUUGACGAGUUUUAAAGUCAGUUCACGCUUCCUUAAUCAUAGAUUGUGAUUAGAAUCUUCAUCAAGGUACAAUUCUAUUCACUUAAUCUUGAUUUAUUAAGGACAAAAAUAGCUAUGUCAAAAGCUAGUUUCCGAUUGAACAACAAUCUGAUUGAGUUUGACUUUAGCUCGAUGAUUCUUUAUAUGUUUGCUUGUUUGGCUUCAUUUGGAUGUCGGAUUCUAAAUUGCUUUGAAUGUAAAUACUGUCAGGAAAUUGGUCGCCACAUGUUCAAUGGAAUACCUAAAUUGAACUCUUGCAGAUUUGUCUCCUCCUGCCAUCAAUGUCGAAACCAAAAUGAAACCCUUAAAAUGGACAUCCUCAAGCAAGAACUACUUAAGAUGCGCCAAACCCUCGCCGAAGAAAAUGACGGCCGGCGCAUCUUCAACCCUCCUCCAUCUACAUUGAGGGCAAAUUGAAUAAGGUUUUAGUUUGGGGUUGCGAUCAAUUUGGAAAAUUCUCUGUAAGUUGUUAUUUAGGGUUUAUAUGUUGGGGCAAAACACGUAAACAACAUUGUUUUGAUACAUAUGCUGACUAAAUUAGAGGUCAUCAUCUUCGUAAUUGUGUUUCUCUGACAAUUAUGAAGAUGGAGAUUGAUCAUAUUUCUUAUAAUAAUAAAUGAACAAAAAAUAUUUUUGUCGUCAAGCGAUAAUAAAAAUAU